UUUUCGACAAUGGGGGGAACCCUGAUCGAGCCAUCCCGCGUGUGUGACGAAGGCCUUCGGGUUGUAAACCACUUUUCUCAACGAAGAAAAGUCUUAUGCUAAUACCUUAAGAUGCUGACGGUUGUUCAGUAACAAGCCCCGGCUAACUAUGUGCCAUCAGCCGCGGUAAUACAUAGGGUGCAAGCGUUAAUCGGAAUUACUGGGCGUAAAGGGUGCGCAGGCGGCUUGGAAAGAACGGUGUGAAAUCCCGGGGCUCAACCCCGGAACUGCACUAUUAACUAUCAAGCUAGAGUAUGUCAGAGGGGGGUGGAAUUCCGCGUGUAGCAGUGAAAUGCGUAGAUAUGCGGAGGAACACCAAUGGCGAAGGCAGCCCCCUGGGAUAAUACUGACGCUCAGGCACGAAAGCGUGGGUAGCAAA
Molecule: ribosomal RNA, 418 nt
Filed under: uncultured bacterium
Lineage: Bacteria
Description: bacterial SSU rRNA
Rfam family: Bacterial small subunit ribosomal RNA
Source: RNAcentral